This 329-nucleotide ribosomal RNA is filed under the name uncultured bacterium. RNAcentral describes it as "bacterial SSU rRNA". It matches the Rfam family "Bacterial small subunit ribosomal RNA", at positions 8 to 334 of the family's 1533-position model. The record is from RNAcentral.
AGGGUUUGAUCAUGGCUCAGGACGAACGCUGGCGGCGCGCCUAACACAUGCAAGUCGAACGAGAGAUGAAGAGCUUGCUCUUCAAAUCGAGUGGCGAACGGGUGAGUAACGCGUGAGUAACCUGCCUUUCAGAGAGGAAUAACAUUUGGAAACGAAUGGUAAUACCACAUAACAUUACGUUCUCGCAUGGGGAUGUAAUCAAAGAUUUAUCGCUGAGAGAUGGACUCGCGUCCGAUUAGCUGGAUGGUGAGGUAACGGCCCACCAUGGCGACGAUCGGUAGCCGGACUGAGAGGUUGAACGGCCACAUUGGGACUGAGACACGGCCCAG